AACCUUCUGGUGGCUUCCCCUUGCUCUUGGAAUGAAUCCCAGGGGCCUGCAGAGCCACAGGGAUGGCCCUGCCCACCUGCUCGGCCUCUGCCCCAGAAGCUCCUCCUCGCUCCUGCGGGGCAGCUACAGACACCUGGAGUGCUUUUCUGCCUCUGCGGCGUUCUUAGCCUUGCUUGUGUAGAUCUUCCUAGAUCAGCUACUGUGCUAGACUGUAAGCUCCCUGAGGGGCAGCUGCAGACACCUGGAGUGCUUUUCUGCCUCUGCGGCGUUCUUAGCCUUGCUUGUGUAGAUCUUCCUAGAUCAGCUACUGUGCUAGACUGUAAGCUCCCUGAGGGGUGCCUGCUGAGCUCCCCUCUGCCUUUUCCCAGGGCAGUGAUGGUGUGAAGAUUGGCAAUGAUUUGUUAACUGUCCUAGGGGAGCCCCUAGCCUGCAGUAGGCCUGGAGCAAAGGGAAGAUUUUGAAAUCGUGUGUGUUGAAAUGAGUGGACCCAGAGAUGAAUGAGACAAGCUCCCUGCCCUUGGAAACCCAACAAAAGAGUGAGGCGUGGAGAACAGUUUCAAGGAACUUCUGGAAAAGGGCUGUGAAAAUCAUGCUGCGGGAACACCUGCAUCAUUGCUGGCCUGGAAACUGAGGACGGCUUCCGGGAGGGGGUUGCCUGGGAGAUGCGUCCAUAGGGCCUCCUGGGGAGCGGAUGGGCGCGGAUGGUGGCCAAGCUUGUCAAGGGAAAAUGGCCCCAGAGAAACGCGCAGUGGGAGGAGAUAAAGAAGAAUUCUACUUUUUAAAGGUUUUUCUUAGAAAAGCAACACGUGCUCAUCGGGAAAAUGGCAGUACAAGUUUGAAUAUCGUAAAGCGCGGGUCUCACUUCUUCCUGCCCCACUGUAUCCUUGGGCGAGAGCGGCGGUGGCCUCGAGGAUAAUCCUGGGACUUGGGUCGGACUGGGCUGGUGAAUCUUCAGGACACAUCGGAGGAGGGCAGCUUUCCAAGGUUGAGCCGCCUGGGACCGCUGUGAAUGGAAUUGUCGACACUGCCCCCUGGCCCGGAAUGCCUCCAUGUUAGCCCCCUGCUCAUCUCCAGCUGGUCUCCCAUGGUGUAGGGUAAAAGGUGAUGGAGCCGGAAGAGCAAGGGCCCCAUAGUCAGCACACGGGGGUUCACGGCCCAGCUUCCUGUGUCUUGGCUGAGCAACCUUGGGCAAGCCAUUCUGCCUCUCUGAACGAGCUCCGUUUGCCAGCUGUGAAGUGGGGGUGGGAAUAAGACCCACUCACCUGGUGAUUGCGAUGAAAUCAGCAGAUAUGAAAGUGCUUUUAGACUGCAACGUGAAGGUGUUAAACGUGGGUCUGUCACUAGAGAUGAGGGUUGACUUGAACCACAGGAACCACCCCCCUGCCCGGGCUCUGACCUGGGCACUUUUGUCUUGUUGCUUGUCCCCGCUGGGGAGGCGAUCUUUCCAUGCGAGAGCGUCAUGUUGCUUUUUGCCCCCGUAAAGGUUGACGACCACUAUGCUGACUACGCCGCCUGCAUCAGCCACUCCAAAGAGUCCGCUUUGAUACCUUAGAGUCUUAAAACACCUGCUGUCGGAACCGUACAAUUGAUUUCAAUUAACUUUGAAUUUUUUCAAUGAAAUGACUCUGAUAAU
This is a long non-coding RNA of Homo sapiens (human), 1633 nucleotides long. The record is from Ensembl. NCBI's taxonomy places the organism in Eukaryota, Metazoa, Chordata, Mammalia, Primates, Hominidae.